UCCACUCAGUCCUCCUCAGGUCUGCUCGGUGUGCCAUGGAUGGCAUCAUCCCAGACAUAGCAGUUGGUACAAAGCAGGGAUCCGACGAACUCUUCUCCACAUGCAUCAGCAACGGCCCCUUCAUCAUGAGUGGCAGCACGGCCUCAGCAGCCAAUGGAAAUGACAGCAAGAAGUUCAAAAAGGACAGCAGGAGUGCGGGUGUCCCCUCCAGAAUCAUUCACGUGUGCAAGCUGCCUAGCAAUGUGACGGAGGGCGAGGUCAUCUCCCUGGGGCUGCCUUUCGGGAAGGCGACUAACCUGCUCAUGCUGAAGGGCAAGAACCAGGCCUUCAUUGAGAUGGGCACAGAGGAGGCGGCCAACACCACAGUCAGCUACUACACCUCAGUGUCUCCUGUGCUGCAAGGUCAGCCCAUCUACAUCCAGUUCUCCAACCAUAAGGAGCUCAAGACCGACAGCUUCCCGAACCAGGCACACUGAAGGCAGUAAACUCUGUACAGUCGGGAAAUCUGGCCCUGGCUGCCUCCGCCGCGGCUGUGGAUGCUGGAUGGCAGUGGCGAGCCAGAGCCCUGUGCUCAGGAUCAUUGUGGAGAACCUCUUCUACCCCAUGACCCUGGACAUGCUGCACCAGAUCUUUUCCAAGUUCGGCACUGUGCUCAAGAUAAUCAUCUUCACCAAAAACAGCUAGUUCUGGGCACUGCUGCAGUACACCGACCCUGUGAGCGCCCAGCAUGCCAAGCUGUCUCUGGAUGGGCAGAACAUCUAUAAUGCCAGCUGCAUGCUGCACAUUGACCUCUCAGAGCUCACCAGCCUCAAUGUCAAGUACAACAAUGACAAGAGCCGCGACUGCAUGUGCCCAGACCUGCCCUCGGGGUCAGCCAUCCCUUAUUGGACCAGACCAAGGCCGCAGCCUUUGGUGUGCCUGGUAUAAUGUCAGCCUCUCCGUAUGCAGGAGCCGGGUUCCCUCCCACCUUUGCCAUCCCCCAGGCCGCAGGCCUUUCUGUCCCUAAUGUCCAUACCUGGCUUGCCCUGCUGGCCAUACCAUCUGCAGCAGGCCACAUCACCAUCCCAGGCCUGGCAGGAGCCUUGAACUCUAUUCUGCUGGUCAGCAACCUGAACCCCAAGAGAGUCACACCCCAAAGCCUCUUUAUUCUCUUUGGUGUCUAUGGUGAAGUGCAGCGGGUGAAGAUCCUGUUCAACAAGAAAGAAUGCACUAGUGCAGAUGGCAGCCAGGCGCAGCUGGCUAUGAGCCACCUGAAUGUCACAAACUACAUGAGAAGCAGGUGUACAUCACACUGUCCAAGCACCAGAGUAUGCAGCUGCUGCGGUAGGGCCAGGACCAAGGACUACAGCAGCUCCCCUCUACACUGCUUCAAGAAGCCUGGCUCCAAGAACUUCCAGAACAUCUUCCCACCCAUCUUCAGCUACCCUGCACCUCUCCAACAUCCUACCUUCUGUGUCUGAGGAUGACCUGAAGAACCUCUUCUCCAGCAAUGGAGGUGCCGUCAAAGGUUUCAAAUUCUUCCAAAAAGACCGCAAGAUGGUGCUGAUCCAGAUGGGCUCCAUGAAGGAGACAGUGCAGGCACCGAUUGAGCUGUACAACCAUGACCUCAUCGAGAACCACCACCUGCACUUGUCCUUCUCCAAGUCUACCAUCUAGUCCGCACUCUAUGACGCCACCCAAUUGUAGCUGAAGUGACCUUACACACCAGAGAUUUUAUUUUUUUAAAGAGAGAUCAGUUUACCUGUUUUUAAAAAAAUUAAAUCUAGCCUACCUCACCAUAGCAACAGCUUGGGCCACUGUGGCCCAGAUAGGCCGGUGCCAUGCCUUGAGGGGCCCAGGCGUGAGGCUGUGGCGCCCCAGAACACCUCCACCUCCGCCUUCAGUGUCCUGCUGCAGCCUCCCCACCCCAAAAUCAAAUGAUGUGAUUCUCCUUCUGGCCGUGCUCAGCUGCAUCCUUCAUAUUAGACCUGUGUGGUCAGAUGCCUGUGCCUAGAGCAGUUGACCAGAUGACCUAAUCUUUCCAUUUACAUGCAAGAGAUACGGUUUUAAGUAACUUUUUAUAGCCAAUAUGACUUUUGUUAAAAGAUAAUUAGAGGGGCUGGAGAGAUGGCUCAGUGGUUAAGAACACUGACUGUUCUUG
Molecule: RNA transcript, 2140 nt
Organism: Nannospalax galili (Upper Galilee mountains blind mole rat)
Lineage: Eukaryota; Metazoa; Chordata; Mammalia; Rodentia; Spalacidae
Gene name: polypyrimidine tract-binding protein 1 pseudogene
Exons: 1
Source: RefSeq, a predicted model, not a curated record